RNAcentral lists this ribosomal RNA (493 nucleotides) under uncultured bacterium. RNAcentral describes it as "partial 16S ribosomal RNA". It matches the Rfam family "Bacterial small subunit ribosomal RNA", at positions 30 to 523 of the family's 1533-position model. The record is from RNAcentral.
AUUGAACGCUGGCGGCAUGCCUUACACAUGCAAGUCGAACGGUAACAGGUUAAGCUGACGAGUGGCGAACGGGUGAGUAAUAUAUCGGAACGUGCCCGGUCGUGGGGGAUAACGUAGCGACAGCUACGCUAAUACCGCAUACGAUCUAUGGAUGAAAGCGGGGGAUCGCAAGACCUCGCGCGAUUGGAGCGGCCGAUAUCAGAUUAGGUAGUUGGUGGGGCAAAGGCCCACCAAGCCAACGAUUUGUAGCUGGUCUGAGAGGACGACCAGCCACACUGGAACUGAGACACGGUCCAGACUCCUACGGGAGGCAGCAGUGGGGAAUUUUGGACAAUGGGCGAAAGCCUGAUCCAGCCAUUCCGCGUGCAGGAUGAAGGCCCUCGGGUUGUAAACUGCUUUUGUACAGAACGAAAAGGUUUCUACUAAUACUAGGAGCUCAUGACGGUACUGUAAGAAUAAGCACCGGCUAACUACGUGCCAGCCGCCGCAGUAA